GACGAACGCUGGCGGCGUGCUUAACACAUGCAAGUCGAACGGAAAGGCCCUGCUUUUGUGGGGUGCUCGAGUGGCGAACGGGUGAGUAACACGUGAGUAACCUGCCCUUGACUUUGGGAUGACUUCAGGAAACUGGGGCUAAUGCCGGAUAGGAGCUCCUGCUGCAUGGUGGGGGUUGGAAAGUUUCGGCGGUUGGGGAUGGACUCGCGGCUUAUCAGCUUGUUGGUGGGGUAGUGGCUUACCAAGGCUUUGACGGGUAGCCGGCCUGAGAGGGUGACCGGCCACAUUGGGACUGAGAUACGGCCCAGACUCCUACGGGAGGCAGCAGUGGGGAAUAUUGCACAAUGGGCGGAAGCCUGAUGCAGCAACGCCGCGUGCGGGAUGACGGCCUUCGGGUUGUAAACCGCUUUCGCCUGUGACGAAGCGUGAGUGACGGUAAUGGGUAAAGAAGCACCGGCUAACUACGUG
Molecule: ribosomal RNA, 468 nt
Filed under: uncultured bacterium
Lineage: Bacteria
Description: partial 16S ribosomal RNA
Rfam family: Bacterial small subunit ribosomal RNA
Source: RNAcentral